This 765-nucleotide ribosomal RNA is filed under the name uncultured Streptococcus sp. RNAcentral describes it as "bacterial SSU rRNA". It matches the Rfam family "Bacterial small subunit ribosomal RNA", at positions 28 to 776 of the family's 1533-position model. Lineage: Bacteria; Bacillati; Bacillota; Bacilli; Lactobacillales; Streptococcaceae. The record is from RNAcentral.
GACGAACGCGGCGGCGUGCCUAAUACAUGCAAGUAGAACGCUGAAGGAAGGAGCUUGCUCUUUCAGGGAUGAGUUGCGAACGGGUGAGUAACGCGUAGGUAACCUGCCUGGUAGCGGGGGAUAACUAUUGGAAACGAUAGCUAAUACCGCAUAAGAGUAGAUAUCGCAUGAUAUCUACUUGAAAGGUGCAAUUGCACCACUACCAGAUGGACAUGCGUUGUAUUAGCUAGUUGGUGAGGUAACGUCUCACCAAGGCAACGAUACAUAGCCGACCUGAGAGGGUGAUCGGCCACACUGGGACUGAGACACGGCCCAGACUCCUACGGGAGGCAGCAGUAGGGAAUCUUCGGCAAUGGACGGAAGUCUGACCGAGCAACGCCGCGUGAGUGAAGAAGGUUUUCGGAUCGUAAAGCUCUGUUGUAAGAGAAGAACGAGUGUGAGAGUGGAAAGUUCACACUGUGACGGUAUCUUACCAGAAAGGGACGGCUAACUACGUGCCAGCAGCCGCGGUAAUACGUAGGUCCCGAGCGUUGUCCGGAUUUAUUGGGCGUAAAGCGAGCGCAGGCGGUUAGAUAAGUCUGAAGUUAAAGGCUGUGGCUUAACCAUAGUACGCUUUGGAAACUGUUUAACUUGAGUGCAAGAGGGGAGAGUGGAAUUCCAUGUGUAGCGGUGAAAUGCGUAGAUAUAUGGAGGAACACCGGUGGCGAAAGCGGCUCUCUGGCUUGUAACUGACGCUGAGGCUCGAAAGCGUGGGGAGCAAACAGG